UACGGAGGGUGCAAGCGUUAUCCGGAUUCACUGGGUUUAAAGGGUGCGUAGGUGGGCUGGUAAGUCAGUGGUGAAAUCUCCGUGCUUAACAUGGAAACUGCCAUUGAUACUACUGAUCUUGAAUUUUCUGGAGGUAAGCGGAAUAUGUCAUGUAGCGGUGAAAUGCUUAGAUAUGACAUAGAACACCAAUUGCGAAGGCAGCUUGCUACAGGGAUAUUGACACUGAGGCACGAAAGCGUGGGGAUCAAACAGG
This 253-nucleotide ribosomal RNA is filed under the name uncultured bacterium. RNAcentral describes it as "partial 16S ribosomal RNA". It matches the Rfam family "Bacterial small subunit ribosomal RNA", at positions 524 to 776 of the family's 1533-position model. The record is from RNAcentral.